UACGUAGGGACCAAGCGUUGUUCGGAUUUACUGGGCGUAAAGGGCGCGUAGGCGGCAAUUCAAGUCAUCUGUGAAAUCUCCGGGCUUAACUCGGAACGGUCAGAUGAUACUGCUUUGCUAGAGUGCGGAAGGGGCAAUCGGAAUUCUUGGUGUAGCGGUGAAAUGCGUAGAUAUCAGGAGGAACACCAAUGGCGAAGGCAGAUCUCUGGGCCGUAACUGACGCUGAGGAGCGAAAGCAUGGGGAGCGAACAGG
This 253-nucleotide ribosomal RNA is filed under the name uncultured bacterium. Its description in RNAcentral is "partial 16S ribosomal RNA". It matches the Rfam family "Bacterial small subunit ribosomal RNA", at positions 524 to 776 of the family's 1533-position model. The record is from RNAcentral.